GAUGAACGCUGGCGGCGUGCCUAAUACAUGCAAGUCGAGCGAACAGAUGAGGAGCUUGCUCCUCUGACGUUAGCGGCGGACGGGGGAGUAACACGUGGAUAACCUACCUAUAAGACUGGGAUAACUUCGGGAAACCGGAGCUAAUACCGGAUAAUAUAUUGAACCGCAUGGUUCAAUAGUGAAAGACGGUUUUGCUGUCACUUAUAGCUGGAUCCGCGCCGCAUUAGCUAGUUGGUAAGGUAACGGCUUACCAAGGCAACGAUGCGUAGCCGACCUGAGAGGGUGAUCGGCCACACUAGAACUGAGACACGGUCCAGACUCCUACGGGAGGCAGCAGUAGGGAAUCUUCCGCAAUGGGCGAAAGCCUGACGGAGCAACGCCGCGUGAGUGAUGAAGGUCUUCGGAUCGUAAAACUCUGUUAUUAGGGAAGAACAAAUGUGUAAGUAACUAUGCACGUCUUGACGGUACCUAAUCAGAAAGCCACGGCUAACUACGUG
RNAcentral lists this ribosomal RNA (497 nucleotides) under uncultured bacterium. RNAcentral describes it as "partial 16S ribosomal RNA". It matches the Rfam family "Bacterial small subunit ribosomal RNA", at positions 28 to 507 of the family's 1533-position model. The record is from RNAcentral.